RNAcentral lists this ribosomal RNA (253 nucleotides) under uncultured bacterium. RNAcentral describes it as "partial 16S ribosomal RNA". It matches the Rfam family "Bacterial small subunit ribosomal RNA", at positions 524 to 776 of the family's 1533-position model. The record is from RNAcentral.
UACGAAGGUGGCAAGCGUUGUUCGGAUUUACUGGGCGUACAGGGAGCGUAGGCGGUUGGGUAAGCCCUUCGUGAAAUCUCCGGGCCUAACCCGGAAAGUGCGGAGGGGACUGCUCGGCUAGAGGAUGGGAGAGGAGCGCGGAAUUCCCGGUGUAGCGGUGAAAUGCGUAGAGAUCUGGAGGAAGGCCGGUGGCGAAGGCGGCGCUCUGGAACAUUUCUGACGCUGAGGCUCGAAAGCGUGGGGAGCAAACAGG